Molecule: ribosomal RNA, 469 nt
Filed under: uncultured bacterium
Lineage: Bacteria
Description: bacterial SSU rRNA
Rfam family: Bacterial small subunit ribosomal RNA
Source: RNAcentral
CGAACGCUGGCGGCAUGCUUAACACAUGCAAGUCGAACGCAGCAUCUGUGCUUGCACAGAUGGCUGAGUGGCAGACGGGUGAGUAACACGUGGGAACUUACCCUUUAGACUGGGACAACCACUGGAAACGGUGGCUAAUACCGGAUACGCCCUGAGGGGGAAAGCAGCAAUGCACUAAAGGAGAGGCCCGCGGCAGAUUAGGUAGUUGGUGGGGUAAAGGCCUACCAAGCCGAUGAUCUGUAGCUGGUUUGAGAGGAUGAUCAGCCACACUGGGACUGAGACACGGACCAGACUCCUAUGGGAGGCAGCAGUGGGGAAUAUUGCGCAAUGGGCGAAAGCCUGACGCAGCAACGCCGCGUGGGUGAUGAAGGCCUUCGGUCGUAAAGCCCUGUCAGAUGGGACGAACCGCCCGCCGAGGGGUCGUGACGGUACCGAUCGAAGGAAGCACCGGCUAACUACGUGCCAGCAG